Molecule: long non-coding RNA, 4445 nt
Organism: Phascolarctos cinereus (koala)
Lineage: Eukaryota; Metazoa; Chordata; Mammalia; Diprotodontia; Phascolarctidae
Source: RefSeq, a predicted model, not a curated record
CACUGCUGGGAUCAGGAGCAACUCCUGCGUCUGCAGAGACGCUAGGAUGGAUGAGUUAUUUCACGGGGCGAACACCAGCCCCUGACUCUUCCAAAGUCUCCUGUUUCAUCUCUGCAGAGACUCUCUGGUUGCAGAGAGUGCAGGGACUCGGCUGCAGCUCACUCUACAGAAGAAGAACAUCUGGACGACGGCCGAAUUUCUUCUCUUCCUCAGCGAGUCUGGACUUCGUGGGACACUCCAGGAACUUCGCGAAACUGAUGUGCUAUGCAUCGGAGACGCUGUCAACCCGUCAAUAAGAUCUUCAGGUCUCCUGAAUGGAGAAAAUCAUCUAUUUUGACGCAGAAAAUUACGUACGUUGGCAGAGUAAAUCAUCCACGUUGGCAGAUAAAAUUAGAGCGGCUGCUCUGAAAAUGAGCGUUGAAACUGCUGGAAACAUCUGCCCCACCUAGCUCAACAGCUCAGGACCAGAAGCAAGUCAACAAUGUGAGAGACAGCAGAUCAUCCAGAUCAGGAUGCGCAAGAGGAAGAGCAAAAGGAAGAGGAAGAAGAAGCGGAAGAGGAAGCGGAAAAGGAAACCCAACUGGAAGAACAUUCUUCGAAGAUGGUUACAAAGGUCGGUUAAAUAUUCUGCAGUAACAGCCCCUCGGUUGCGUUAAUCAAUGCCUAGUGUAUAGCCUUAGUUCAUCUGGGGUUUUGAGAGAAGAUCAAAAGGAGGACAAGAAAUAUAAGGAGGAUUUGGGGAAGAAUACCUAUAAUCCUACAAAAACAUAGCAGGUGAUUUCUACAUUGACAAGUUGAGGGAUGAUUUCUAUAAACCCUCAGGAGAAUAUGGCCUAGAAUAAGGUCAACAAACCUCAGAGUUAGAGAGCUGUUCUGUAGUUCUGUAGUCCAGUCCACCCCCCUCAUUUAACAGAUGGAGAAUCCAUCUCAGGAAGUACUUGCCCAAAAUCACAAAAGAGGCAAAGAUGGGAUUUGAAUUCAGUCUUCUGACUUUAAGUCCAAGGUUCUUUUGAAGGGACCUUAGAGAUACUUUGGUCCUGUAAAUUUGCAGCUGGUGAAACUGAGGCCUUCAGGGCAAACUGGCCCAAGCUCCUGGUCUACUACUAAUUAACUAUAAUAUAGAAGUAAGCAUCCCAGCAUGCUUGCAAAUAAUACAUGUACCUGAGUCUAAAGCAUUUGAUUUCCUGGAAUUUCUAAAAGGAAAUAAUAGACAGAGAUAGAUCAUUUUGUCCAAACUGUGUAAGCAGCUUUGGUGUAACUGCUACUCUAGGCUCAGGCAGCUGCCAGGCAGUGAAAGUAAUCAGAACCAUGGAGCAAUGUGGUCUCUCUAGGGAGCCACACCCUAUUUUUUGGCCCAAGACCAUUUUCCUCAAUGGAGCAUUGGCUCCUGGAAACCAUUGUACUUAAUGGAGCAUUGGCUCCAAGAAACGAUUGUGCUUAAUGGGGCAUUGGCUCCUAGAAACCAUUGUGCCUAACGGAGCAUUGGCUCCGAGUGGCUCCAGGUAUGCUCCUGGAGGGGCUCUGGAGCCACAGACACUGUAGGCUGAACUCCCUCUUAGGAUGGCUGAGUGAAGCCUGUUAAAGAGUCGGUUGCUCAGGGAGAGGGAGGGAUUAUGCCAGAGCUGUCAUUAGACUACUGAUUUCAUUCAUUAUAUCACUUCUCUGUUCAAAGACUUUCCAGUGGUUCCCUAUUCCUAAUAGGAUCAAAUCCAGAUUCAUUAGGCUGAUGGCCACAUUCCAGUCCCAUACUACCUUUUCUAACCCCAUCUCCCAUCCUUCAAAUGAUUCAACACUUCAAGGACCUGUGAUUUCACUGGUGUGGGAACUCCUUUCACUGAUACAGGUUGUAACCCUUUCUGUGGCUUAGCUCAUGUUCUUUGAGAGGUACUGUUUCCAAAAACUUUCAUCACCAUGAGGCCAACCUGGCCCUAAGUCUUUAUGAACUUAGCUUGGCUGGUCCUCAUACAGCAUCCAUCCUUGGAGACCUGGCAAGGGAGCUUGGUCCUCUAACCCCUGGGGCACAGACGUCAAGGAUUCCCAGUCACCUUCUCCACACCGCAAUGAGACCUCUGAAGAGGGUCACUUGAGCUGAGCUUCCCAGAGGAGAUGAGACUUGAACCCUGUCAUCUUUCGAAGGCUCAGCUCAAGCCCUACAUCCUCCAUGAAGCUUUCCCUGACCCCCACAGUCUCAGGGGACCUCUCCCUCUUCUGAACUCAAACAGCACUUGUCUGUACUGUAUUGUUUGAUUGGCACUCACACCAUAUAUUGUCCAGUGAGUGUUCUUCUAUUGUUGUCUUGUAUUGUUACUCAGCUUAACCUAUGUGUAAGCCUGGGCUCCCUUGCCAAAUGGUGAGCUUGAGCUUGUGUUGAGGGCCGGGAAUGUGCUUUAUAUGUCUUUGUAGCUCCCAGGGUGAACGUAGUCUAGCAUUGGGCUAGGCACAUAGUUCUCUUGGGUUGGUACUUAUCGUUAUUAUUUUUUUAGGCUGGGUAAUUAUUUCUUUGGUUAAGGUCCUAAAAGUAAAAUGCUUUCUUCUGGACCUUAAAGAAGCUCACAAACAUCUCAGCCUUUAGAAUUUUCAGCAUUGCUGAACUGUAUUCCCCUUUGGGAUUGAGUCCUUCCUUGGUAGCAAGAGAAGCAUAUACAAUUGAGGGAAAAUGGCAGUGGGGAAACUGUGCCAAGGGAAUAUGUUCCAUUGGGUGGAAGUCACAGGGAGAAAAACUGUAGCCUAGUACAAGGAACAACAUUCCUAACAGUCAGAGCUGUCCUGCAAUGGAUCAGUAGGCCUCAGAAGGGAGUGGGACCUUCCUGACAUAGGAAGUGUUCAAACAGAGGCCCAAAGAUGCUCUCCCUCCACCCACUCCCCCCACAGCAAUAUCACAGAGUGGGAGGAUGGAUCACUUCAAAAAUCCUUCCUAUUUCAGAGUCUUUACUUAAAUACUUCAGGAAUAUUGUGGGUAUUCCCAACAAAUGUUGCAACCCCUCUACAAACUUAGAAAUGGGGCUUUAGAGAGUUGCUGUGGGGAAAUUUGUAAGAUGCUCCUCCACCAACAGACCCAUGGUACUGCACAGGAGCCUGUCCUGAGAGUCUCAGAUUUUGUAAUAAGGGACACAUUACAGAGUGUCCCGUGAUAUGUCACAGCAUUCAGGAGUUGUGAGGGGCAGAGCUGGGCCAUCAUAGGAAGGAAAGUCCAUGGGCCAAGGGCUUUGCUUAGAUUCUAGCAUAAGGGAAGGGGAUCACAUUAUAGGGGGACAAAAAAAAUCUCUCCAAUAGCACCAAGUUUGCUGCUACUGUCUGAGGGCUGACAGCUGGAGAUCUUCCUUUCUGCCCCUUCCCUCCUCCUCUUUGCUCACUCUUCCCUGGUUGAGCUCCUUUUUGGAAGGAUUUUCCAAUUUGUUCAGAGGCUGUGCUUGAAAAGGCACUGACUAGAAUGUGACCCAAGGCACCUGCAAUCAAGCCUCUGCAAUUAGAGACUUGAUUCUUGCCUCUCUUUGGGAAUCUUGUGACACCGGCAUGUGUGACUUUCCAGGGGGCUGCAAAGGUAGCAAGAUUUCUUGGGUCAGAGGUAUGAGUAGCAAAGAAGAGGGAGCAGCAAGAAACUCUCCUACUUAGAAAAGGGCCCUCCCCUGCCCUGAAAGGCCAUCUGACGAUGACAAUAAGGACAGAACCCAUCAUAGAAGAGCUCAUUAUUUCAAAAAUUACAAGUCAAACCAUGCCUCCUGACACCAGCAAUGGGCAAAAAUCUGAUAGAAUCUGAUUAGUACAGAACUUAAGUAUUAGCUUGGUGCCUUUUCCCCUUUAUACUGCUGGUUUUAGCCUAUCCUUCCUUUAUAACACCAGCAUUAUAUAGGAGUUUUGUUGUAUAAACCAAUAGUAUUGCAACUUGUAUUCAUAGAGUUUCUUUCAUCUAGGAAAUGCAUCAAGUUCAUACCUACCACCUUAGGGACAAUCACAAUACCUACUUCAAGGUAGAAGAAGCAGGAACAGUCAAUCUUGUUCUGUUUCAGCAUUAAAUAAUUCCUUGUAACGAAGAGAAACAAAAAUUAGCCACUAAUUUGGUGAUUCAGAGAGGGAAUGCAACAUGCUGUACCCAUAGUUGCCCAACUCUCAAACAAGAGAGGAAGGCAUAUUUCAAUACCUGGUCUUUGGAACCAAGAGGAGUCAUUAUAACUAUGCAGAGUUUGGGUUCCUUUUUUCAUUCUUUUCAUUUAUUGUAUAUACAUAUAUAUGCAUAUAUAUUCUUCUCUUAAAUAUGCUUACUUGAUUGCAUCAGUUUAUAUAGGUUUUCCCAUAUUUCUCUGAAUUCCUCACAUUUGUCCUUUCAUAUGACACAGUUUAAUACUACAUUACAUGGGUACUGGAAAACAGUUUAUUCAGUCAUUCUCCAAAUGAAGGGCACCUAGUUUAUUUUCUAUUCUUUGCCAAACACACACACACACACACAC